RNAcentral lists this ribosomal RNA (804 nucleotides) under Panulirus japonicus (Japanese spiny lobster). RNAcentral's name for it is "partial 16S rRNA". The record is from RNAcentral. Lineage: Eukaryota; Metazoa; Arthropoda; Malacostraca; Decapoda; Palinuridae.
AAUGAAAAUAUGUUUAUGUUAAAAUUUGAAAUAAAAAAUGAGUUUCAGAAAAAUAGUUUUAAUUAGAACAGUUAUUAGUAUUUAAGAAAUAACUUUUUUGGACCUAGUGCAAAAGUACCGUGAGGGAAACGUGAAAUAAAAAUGAAAAUUUGAUUGAUUAAAAGAAGAAGUAAAAACUUGUACCUUUUGUAUCAGGGAGGAUCGAAAUAUACUAAUAAUGUUAGAGUUCCCGAAAAAAGAAUAGCUAAGAGCUUAUGUUUAUCCCGGUGGAAAAUUGGUUUAUAAUAAGUCCUUAGUGGUGAAAUGCUAGUCGGGUCUUUUGAUAUCUGGUUGUUUUGGAAAUAAAUUUAAUUUGGCCUAAACUAGUAAAUAAUAAUAGUUUAGUUGAAUGGCCGGAGGGAAAAGCUUCUGGUCAUAAAUCUUGGUAUAAAUAAAAUUUCUUUUAAUAUGCAAUUCUAACUGGGCUUAGAAGUAGCCAUGUUUAUAAAGUGUCUUAACUAAGAUAAAGCUUUAAUAGAAUAUUUUUAUAAUUUUUAUCAAAAAUACGAAACUUUAAGUGAGAAUUUGAAUAACUUAGCAAUAAUGAUCUUAUUAGUAUAAUCAUUUCUGUGUGUUCGAUUAAGCAAAUUUAAAAUAAAAUAUAUUUCUUGUUGAAUAAAAGAGGAUAUAGCAAAGGAACUCGGCAAAAGAGAUUUCUGCCUGUUUAUCAAAAACAUGUCUUUAUGAAUAUUCAUGUAAAGUCUAGCCUGCCCAGUGACAUUAAAGUUUAACGGCCGCGGUAGCAUGACCGUGCUAAGGUAGCAU